GAUGAACGCUGGCGGCGUGCCUAAUACAUGCAAGUCGAGCGAACAGACGAGGAGCUUGCUCCUCUGACGUUAGCGGCGGACGGGUGAGUAACACGUGGAUAACCUACCUAUAAGACUGGGAUAACUUCGGGAAACCGGAGCUAAUAUCGGAUAAUAUAUUGAACCGCAUGGUUCAAUAGUGAAAUACGGCUUUGCUGUCACUUUGAGAUUGAUCCGCGCCGCAUUAGCUAGUUGGUAAGGUAACGGCUUACCAAGGCGACGAUGCGUAGCCGACCUGAAAGGGUGAUCGGCCACACUGGAACUGAGACACGGUCCAGACUCCUACGGGAGGCAGCAGUAGGGAAUCUUCCGCAAUGGGCGAAAUCCUGACGGAGCAACGCCGCGUGAGUGAUGAAGAUCUUCGGAUCGUAAAACUCUGUUAUUAGGGAAGAACAAAUGUGUAAGUAACUAUGCACGUCUUGACGGUACCUAAUCAGAAAGCCACGGCUAACUACGUG
RNAcentral lists this ribosomal RNA (497 nucleotides) under uncultured bacterium. RNAcentral describes it as "partial 16S ribosomal RNA". It matches the Rfam family "Bacterial small subunit ribosomal RNA", at positions 28 to 507 of the family's 1533-position model. The record is from RNAcentral.